UACGGGAGGCAGCAGUGGGGAAUAUUGGACAAUGGGCGCAAGCCUGAUCCAGCCAUGCCGCGUGAGUGAUGAAGGCCUUAGGGUUGUAAAGCUCUUUCAGUGGGGACGAUAAUGACGGUACCCGCAGAAGAAGCCCCGGCUAACUUCGUGCCAGCAGCCGCGGUAAUACGAAGGGGGCUAGCGUUGUUCGGAAUCACUGGGCGUAAAGGGCGCGUAGGCGGCUUUGUAAGUCGGGGGUGAAAGCCUGUGGCUCAACCACAGAAUUGCCUUCGAUACUGCAUGGCUUGAGACCGGAAGAGGUUAGUGGAACUGCGAGUGUAGAGGUGAAAUUCGUAGAUAUUCGCAAGAACACCAGUGGCGAAGGCGGCUGACUGGUCCGGUUCUGACGCUGAGGCGCGAAAGCGUGGGGAGCAAACAGGAUUAGAUACCCUGGUAG
This 436-nucleotide ribosomal RNA is filed under the name uncultured Alphaproteobacteria bacterium. RNAcentral's name for it is "bacterial SSU rRNA". It matches the Rfam family "Bacterial small subunit ribosomal RNA", at positions 340 to 793 of the family's 1533-position model. The record is from RNAcentral. Lineage: Bacteria; Pseudomonadati; Pseudomonadota; Alphaproteobacteria.